Molecule: ribosomal RNA, 792 nt
Filed under: Triticum aestivum (bread wheat)
Lineage: Eukaryota; Viridiplantae; Streptophyta; Magnoliopsida; Poales; Poaceae
Description: partial small subunit ribosomal RNA
Source: RNAcentral
AUGCACAAUAUAGCCAAGAUCCUCUGCAAGUUGCUUGCCAACAGGCUGGCCCCGGAGCUCGAUUCCCUUGUCUCUCUUUCCCAGAGCGCUUUCAUUAAGAAGAGAUGUAUUCAGGACAACUUCCUUUAUGUGCACAAUGUCAUCAGAGAGGCUCACACUAAGAAGAAGCCAUUAAUCUUCCUCAAGCUUGACAUUGCAAAAGCGUUUGACUCCGUUGGUUGGGGCUUCUUGUUGGAGACCUUGUCUGCUUUUGGCUUUGGUCGGCGCUGGAGAAACAUUGUGUCUGUCAUCCUGAGUUCUGCUUCCUCAAGAAUUUUGUUAAAUGGCACACCUGGUCCGCCCUUCAGGCAUAUGUGUGGUCUUAGACAGGGCGACCCCUUGUCCCCGAUGUUGUUCAUUCUCGCCAUGGAGCCGCUUCGGAAACUGUUGGAUCUUGCAACGGAAGGCGGUGUUCUAACUAAGCUGGGACCUAAGGCAGCCAGAUUUCGCACAAGUAUGUACGCUGAUGAUGCGGCCCUGUUUUUAAACCCUAUCAAGGACGAGGUGCAUGCAGUAAGAGCAAUAUUGGAUAGGUUUGGGGAGGCCUCUGGUCUAAAAAUCAACAGCCAGAAAUGUGUUGCAUAUCCAGUUAGGUGCGAGGGGCUUGACUUCCAGGAUAUUAUCCAAGAUUUUGGUGGGACGGUAGGCUCUCUCCCGUGUCGUUACCUUGGACUGCCGCUCAGCUAUCACAAGCUUAGAAGAAUUGAGGUCCUCCCUCUCAUAGAUGGCAUGGCCGGAAGGCUUAAAGGAUGA